Long non-coding RNA from Stegostoma tigrinum, 434 nucleotides. RefSeq lists it as uncharacterized. Lineage: Eukaryota; Metazoa; Chordata; Chondrichthyes; Orectolobiformes; Stegostomatidae. The transcript has 3 exons. The record is from RefSeq and is a predicted model, not a curated record.
UCAGCACACAAUCCUGACAACUAAAUCUGUUCAUACUGUUGUCACCUCCACUGUUGCUCCUCAACUUCCCCAACGAAGUCUCGAUCUUUGGGUAAGAAGGAUGGAAGGCUUUACUGAUCAGCUUAACAAGGCUGCAUCCAAUGCAUUCAAUACAGCAGAAGACAAAGGGACAGCUGCAAACGAUGCAAGUCAGAAAAGCGGAGGGCAAGUGCAGCAGAUUGUGGAGAAAGCUAUCGAUCAGGGUGCAGAAGUUUUGAAGAAAAAAGGGGUUGAGUUGAUUAAUUCCAACGCUGGUAACUUACCAAGUUUCUCAAAAUGAUCAGCAACAUGGAGCAAGUGUAAAUUGUCACUGUUAAACUGCAUCUCUGGUAUUUGUAAAAGAAAAUUAGUCCAUUUAACUGAAUAAAACAUAUUGAUAAAAUCAUUCCACUCUA